RNAcentral lists this ribosomal RNA (497 nucleotides) under uncultured bacterium. Its description in RNAcentral is "partial 16S ribosomal RNA". It matches the Rfam family "Bacterial small subunit ribosomal RNA", at positions 28 to 507 of the family's 1533-position model. The record is from RNAcentral.
GAUGAACGCUGGCGGCGUGCCUAAUACAUGCAAGUCGAGCGAACAGACGAGGAGCUUGCUCCUCUGACGUUAGCGGCGGACGGGUGAGUAACACGUGGAUAACCUACCUAUAAGACUGGGAUAACUUCGGGAAACCGGAGCUAAUACCGGAUAAUAUAUUGAACCGCAUGGUUCAAUAGUGAAAGACGGUUUUGCUGUCACUUAUAGAUGGAUCCGCGCCGCAUUAGCUCGUUGGUAAGGUAACGGCUUACCAAGGCAACGCUGCGUAGCCGACCUGAGAGGGUGAUCGGCCACACUGGAACUGAGACACGGUCCAGACGCCUACGGGAGGCAGCAGUAGGGAAUCGUCCGCAAUGGGCGAAAGCUUGACGGAGCAACCCCGCGUGAGUGAUGAAGGUUUUCGGAUCGUAAAACUCUGUUAUUAGGGAAGAACAAAUGUGUAAGUAACGAUGCACGUCUUGACGGUACCUAGUCAGAAAGCCACGGCUAACUACGUG